RNAcentral lists this ribosomal RNA (254 nucleotides) under uncultured Glomus. RNAcentral's name for it is "partial 18S ribosomal RNA". It matches the Rfam family "Eukaryotic small subunit ribosomal RNA", at positions 624 to 883 of the family's 1831-position model. Lineage: Eukaryota; Fungi; Glomeromycota; Glomeromycetes; Glomerales; Glomeraceae. The record is from RNAcentral.
AAGCUCGUAGUUGAAUUUCGGGAUUAGUACGUCGGUCGUGCCUUAGGUACGUACUGGUGUUACUGGUUCCUACCUUCUGACGAACCAUCAUGUCAUUAAUUUGGUGUGGUGGGGAAUCAGGACAGUUACUUUGAAAAAAUUAGAGUGUUUAAAGCAGGCUCGCGCUUGAAUACAUUAGCAUGGAAUAAUGAAAUAGGACGUUGAUCCUAUUUUGUUGGUUUCUAGGAUUGACGUAAUGAUUAAUAGGGAUAGGG